UACGAAGCGUGCGAACGUUGUUCGGAAUCACUGGGCUUAAAGGGCGCGUAGGCGGGUUGACAAGUCUGGGGUGAAAUCCCACGGCUCAACCGUGGAACUGCCUUAGAUACUGUCGGCCUCGAGGAAGGUAGGGGCAUGCGGAACUGUAGGUGGAGCGGUGAAAUGCGUUGAUAUCUGCAGGAACACCGGUGGCGAAAGCGGCGUGCUGGACCAUUUCUGAUGCUGAGGCGCGAAAGCGAGGGGAGCAAACAGG
RNAcentral lists this ribosomal RNA (253 nucleotides) under uncultured bacterium. RNAcentral describes it as "partial 16S ribosomal RNA". It matches the Rfam family "Bacterial small subunit ribosomal RNA", at positions 524 to 776 of the family's 1533-position model. The record is from RNAcentral.